GCUACCAGAAGCCGAUCUAGUCGGAUCUACCCUACCUUCGGGUCGGCACAAGUUGCCAAACAUCCUGCCGACUUACGUGAGUUAGCGACUUACACAAGUUAGUUACUCACUGAGGCAUUCAACUGAAAGAAGGAGACAAAGGGAAAGUAGAAGAAACUUUCAUUCAAAGUUUUCAUUUGGAGUGUACAAAGUCGGGUCGAAGCCC
Molecule: long non-coding RNA, 205 nt
Filed under: Elaeis guineensis (African oil palm)
Lineage: Eukaryota; Viridiplantae; Streptophyta; Magnoliopsida; Arecales; Arecaceae
Description: long non-coding RNA (EGUI_LNC075747)
Source: RNAcentral